Zootermopsis nevadensis is the source of this 1267-nucleotide long non-coding RNA. RefSeq lists it as uncharacterized. The record is from RefSeq and is a predicted model, not a curated record. NCBI's taxonomy places the organism in Eukaryota, Metazoa, Arthropoda, Insecta, Blattodea, Termopsidae.
GCUCUCGUGAUAUUAUAUGGGUAGUUCCGAAGCAUAGACGCCAUCAGCGGGGUCUCGAGAGACGGCAAGGCGACUGAUAUCGGCAAGAACUCAGCAGACAGGAUCUGGAUGCCAGGCACAUUUACAUUUACGUGGAAUAAACCUGUCACAAACUCGAAGCUGGACUCCAGGGGGUGGACAGCAGGUGACUUGACACUGAUAGGCUGUGGUUUACUACCCCUGGAGGGUUGUGACUGCUCUCUGGACGCUCAUGAUGUUAGCCAUUGACGCUGGAACUGAGCCACGUCCCCAGAUGCAUAUAACAUUAACGUACAAGCACUGUUUUACUCUGUCAGCAGUCUUAACAUGGAGACUGCUCCGGGCCAGUGGCGUGUCGCCAUCUUCACGAAGGACUUCGUCUCAUCAAGAAGCGGAGAGAGGCCUCAGAAGCAGACAGAAUCUUUCAAUUCACUUUCAUGCGCCUUCAUUCGCUUCAACGCAGAAGAUAAAUAAGAAAAAGCCAUUUGUGCCGACAGCAGGAUAACAAUUUUCUGCCGACAUGGUUUUCUUUGUCUCAUAUGCCGUUCAUAGUUUCCACAACUGGGCCCAUGCAUCAAAGUCUGCUGUAGCUUCCGGAAGGCAAAGCUUCCAAGCACCGGAACUCCGGCUCCGUGGAGGUUGAUGGGUGAAAUUGACUUGACCCAACCAACCCUUCGCUCAACUUUCAACCGCCCCUGGGUUACAGACUACAAACACAAAUUAGAUCCCAUACAUCGACGUGCAAGCUGAAAUCUCCUCGACGUACGCGACAGGCGAGUGACGUCAUUAUCAUCUGAGUGCUUCGUCAAACAUUCCCUGGCCAUACAACGUACCUGACUUGUAUUGAGACGUGCCCGGUUCAAUUUCAGAUCUGUUACAGAAUUAUUUAUCGUGGUUUUCCUCAGCAGAAAGCAAGUACAGUCCCUGUAAAGAGACAAGAGCCAUCGUCUUCUACAUUAUUAUAUUCUUACAGUUCAUCAUCAUCUUAUCAUCUGCUGCCGUCUCAAAACAUAUUUCUUUUUGAAAAUUUUAAUAGUUUUUACUACCAAGCUAGUUCGUUGAGAGUUUUACUUGGGGUUACUUGUUGCAGAUAAAUUGUGUCCUUAUUUUGAAGGCAGUGAAACUUAUGACAGAUAGUAGAUACUUUAACGGUUGUGAAAUGUCAGUGUAAGACAGCGAAAAUAGCGUAAUUAUAGGCCCGCAGGCUUACGUAAUGAUACUUCUGUCAUUUAAUUUGAAAUGUAUAAAC